GUGUAUGAUAGUGUAGUGGUCAGGGUGUUUGACUACCAGCCAAAAGGUUCUGGGUUCGAUCCCCAAUGUGUGCA
This is a non-coding RNA of Merluccius polli (Benguela hake), 74 nucleotides long. The record is from the annotation of a GenBank genome assembly. NCBI's taxonomy places the organism in Eukaryota, Metazoa, Chordata, Actinopteri, Gadiformes, Merlucciidae.